ACAGGUUUGCUGUUUAAAGAUUUCCUUUGGCUCUCAGCAGAUAAGAGGCCAAUAUACUCAAACUCUUAUCUACUGCAGUGAAUACAUUAAGUGGCAUUGAUAAGGUUGGAAAUGUGGCAUAGGCAUAUUGAGUCUAAUGGCUUGUUAAGUGCAUGUGUCAGCUUCUUCUUUCUGAAAACUUCAGGAAGAACUGCAUGCUCCUGAUAAAUUUAUUUAAAUUGCCACCCUUGACACACAAACAGAAUAGAAUACCUUAAUUAGAGUAAGAAAGUUGUUCACUUUCCUGCGUCACUAAUGGAGAUUGACAGAGGACUUACUUAGAGAGUUAUAAAUAGAAUUUAGGCUGCUGUGAGGAAAAGAGAAACCAAAAUGAUACCAGCUGUACCAGGAGAAGAACUGAAGAGGCAUCCAAGGAUGUUUUCCUAGUCAUCAAUUCCCAGGUCUUCACUAUUUUUAGGGGCUGACAGUUUUAUAAAUAAGUCAGCAAGGGCUUUUCCACCUUACCUUAAUCUGCUAUGAGUUGCUGGUUUGAGCUCAAGUGGUGACAAUUCAAAGAAGAACAUUCAUGGGGCUAUGUUUUCAACAGAACUGGUGAAACCAUAUCCACACAGGCUAUGGAAGCAGACUCAGCAGACUUGCUGUUCAAAAGACCAUUCCUAAGGAUUUUUAAGAAUUUUUUUUCUGUUGAAAAAAAAAAAACCUGUAUUUCCAAUCUCAUCUGCAUGUACUGCCACAACAUACUGGAUGUAAAUAAAUUUAAAGAGAUUGUGGACGGUAAGGUCUUGUGGAAGGAUCUACUUCAUGCAGGUGAGAAGAGUAAGGAGGAUUCCAUCCAAUUUGAUUUGAACAAUGAACUACACUACACCAUUGAUGAUGAAGACUAUCAAAUUGCGUAGUCUCUACAGGACAUCCCCUUUAGGUUUUUAGUGGGACCAGAGGUUAUAUCGAUUACUUGUGAACUCUUUAUAUGUGAGGCGUCUAAGGAAUGAAGAGACAGCCUUUAUUCUACCAUCUACUUCCUAUUUCAGAGGGUCGAUUGAAGAUUGCCCAAUCUGGAGAGAUCUAUAUAGGGAAAAGAGGACACUUUAUGGAUGAAUCAAUAGACACAGAUAGAGUAAGUAAUUUGAAGAUUUGACCUCCUCUCCACAGCGACAAAAGGUCAUCUGUUACCACUACUUGAAUACCCUCUGGCAUUGGUGGGUUAGAAGUUUAAUUGCUGCAAGAAGUUCAGAAUAUUGGGAAAUGGUAUUCUCUUGACUCUCAGUGCUAUGUACAUCAGAAGAGGGAGUUGGAUCCAUUAAAAACACUCUUUGACCCAAAAGAAUUGUGAACUGUUUUGUGGAGAGAGACCCUUUCCUGAAGAGGCCACACACACCAAUGUUUCAAGUCUUUGGCCUGCUGAGACAGAUUUUUGAAAAAUUAUGUUUGUAUCUCAUCCCAGAAAAAUAAUAAGAUAAGAUAAUGGCUAAAAUCCUAUUGCUUAACAUCAUACAUUGCAACUUGUGUAGGGCCAUUAAAUCAGUGGGGAUUUGGUGAAUCAGUUCCUAUGUAUGUUCCAUUGAUGCAAAUAGGCUUAGUCUAAUUGCAACUUACUACAUCAAAGCAAGUGAUAAUUAGAGUAGGUUUAUUUAGUGAAUAAACUUACAGGGUAGUUUAUUCA
Molecule: long non-coding RNA, 1660 nt
Filed under: Pogona vitticeps (central bearded dragon)
Lineage: Eukaryota; Metazoa; Chordata; Lepidosauria; Squamata; Agamidae
Description: lncRNA (ENSPVIG00000019380.1)
Source: RNAcentral